Zingiber officinale is the source of this 2234-nucleotide RNA transcript. It is a transcript of the gene named zinc finger CCCH domain-containing protein 5-like, with no coding region annotated. The record is from RefSeq and is a predicted model, not a curated record. NCBI's taxonomy places the organism in Eukaryota, Viridiplantae, Streptophyta, Magnoliopsida, Zingiberales, Zingiberaceae. The transcript is spliced from 8 exons.
UUGAUCGAUAAAUACCUUCGACUCCGCUUGUACUCUGAGAGAGGAAUUCACGAGCGAGAAGUUUCAAACAGAUCUGCGGAAUCCCCACCUGCGAUCGCUAUUGCUUCCGAUUUCACGGCUUGGGGCGGCGGAAAUCGUUCGUCGGAGUCGGGGCCGACGGCGAUCGGGCCCUGGUUUCGAAGGACACGGACUUGUAUUGCUCUCGUCCGUCGCCGCUGUGGAUUGGUCGGCCUUGGUGCGGUAGUAGAACAUCGGAAUAUCGCCGAUCACCUCCGCGAUGGCAGCCGGCUCUUCGCACAACGCAUCGUCGCAGGAACUUGGGAAUGAAUUUUCCGAAGGGGAGGGAAGACAAAGACAGUUUUCUUCUUUUGAAUAGGGAGCAUCGCAAGGGAUUAAAUUUUGAUGGUUAUUGUUUUUGGAAGCAGAGCUUAUGGAGAACCUGAAGAUUGAGAAGGAUGGACAGGAGAGCGCUGAUGCCAGUCCCGAUUCCUAUCCUCGACGCCCAGGAGAACCUGAUUGCAAGUACUAUUUGAAAAUGGGUUGCUGCAAAUAUGGAAGCAAGUGCAAAUAUAACCAUCCUACCAUGGAACAGGAGACUAUUCAUAGAGAUGAACUGCCCCGGAGGGAAGACAAACCAGAUUGCCAGUUUUUUCUCAAAACUGGAUUUUGUAAGUUUGGCACAACUUGCAAGUAUCAUCAUCCACAAGACAAGCCUGCUGUCCAAUUACCUUCGCUGAAUGUCUUCGGUCUACCAUUGCGAAAGGAUGUGCAGUCAUGUUCCUACUUUAUGAAAACUGGAUCUUGUAAAUUUGGAGUCACAUGCAAGUUUAAUCAUCCGGAUCCUGCCAAUGUUGGAGGCAUGUUUUUUCCGUCUGGACCUUCAGUCUAUGGCUUUACCGGAUACUCUACAACCACAGGAGGAUCACACUCUUCAGGAGGAUAUCCUUCAUGGCCUUCCUCAUGGACCCUUUAUCCGAAUAAUCCUUAUGUGCAAGGACCUCCUGCUUACAGUCCUCAUAUCCAGCAGAGUUGGAGGACAUACAUGCCACCUGCAAGUACAAAUGUUCCCUCUAUGAAUGAUCUUCGGCCAAGUUCGAGCACGUCUGGUAUUUUCCCAGAGAGACCUGACGAACCAGAUUGUGAAUACUACAUGAAGACAGGGAGCUGCAAGUAUGGUAGUUCUUGCAAGUAUAAUCACCCUAAAGGGAGAAACCAAGAAGCUGACAGUGUCAUUGGACCCUACGGCCUUCCUCUCAGACCAGGUUUGCCUACAUGCAAAUACUAUGCUGCUAAUGGAAAUUGCAAGUAUGGUGCAACUUGCAAAUUCGAUCACCCGGUUAUUGCUGUUUACCCUUGGCCGGAAGCAGCUUCAACAUCAGCAUAUCCUUACCAAAAUGGUAGAGAGCUUACAUGGAGGGCAUCAAACAGCAGUCCAUCCCUUAGGACCCCUACAGAACUUGGUCAGCUCAAGACUCCUCCGAGAGCCAUUCCGGCACAGUAUGUGAACAACAAUGAACACGAGAGUCAAUCUUCGACACUUUCUCCAAACCAUCCUGCUCCGAAUUCAGAGUCGUCAGGAAAUCAAUCGGACGAGGGCUAGCCCAUAGGAUGACUGAAGGAUGCAUAUUGUGGCUUCUCUGCAUUCAGUCUCAAAUUUUGUUUGUUUUUCGGAAGGUGGCGAGUAGAUAGAUACCGUGCAUGGAAGAAUAGCUGGUGAUCAUGCAGAGGGUCCUCCCCUCUGUUUCAUGGAUCUGAUCAUCUGAGUAUGUUCCUUGAAAAGAAAAACAAAUUAGUCUCGGAGUAAAUUAUGAAACAUUUAUCAUAUGAACUAAGAUGUUUGAGUACUAUCCGUGAGACUUGUACUAGGAACCUUGUGUUGCUCUAGCAAAUAGAAGUAUGUGCUUCAUGGUCUUUGUGAUGAGGACAGUUCUGCUGAGAAGAAAUGAGCAAAGAGAAACUGAUUCCCACAUCAAUUAUAUCAAGAUUUCAGGAUUGAAUCUCUUUUCAUUUUUACAGAAGCAACAUCUACUUAACAGUAUCCUAAAACCAGUAGUAGUUUGUUGUUCCUAUGAAGGUACUUUUUGGAGAGGUUUAAAGUGAAUGCAAUGGUCCACAACAAUAAUACAUUCGGUGGUUGAGUGUAGUUGAGGAAGAUGCAUUCUCAUUAUACCUUCUCACGAGUAGGUGAAUCUUUACUGCAAACACUGUAUGAAUGAUGCAUGAUUCUUCUGAAC